AUGAGGAAGAUGAGCCACAGCUGUGAUCAUCCACAACACACCCAUGGAGAAACUGAGGUUCAAUAGAGAGGACCCAAAGCAGACAUAGCAAUUGUCUCCAAAUAUAGGAAGUGCAGUAUGUGGAAGGGGGAUCACACUUAUUUUGUUUGACCCAAAUGGGAAGGACAAGGAGUAAUGGGUGGGCAUUGUUAAGAGGCCAGUUGAGCCUUUGUGUCAAGAGUGUCUUCUCAAAAACCUGAGCUGUCCCCGGGUAGAAGAGGCUGCCUCCAGAGAUGGAGAAGUGGGGGUGGUGUGCUUUCUCCUUGGUGCUUUUCAAGCAGAAAUUGGAUAAGGACCUGUCAGGCAUCUUCCAGUAGCUGGGUAGUUUAGAAGACAGAACGCUGGACUUUGAGUAGAGAAAGCCAGAUACUGACUAACUUCGGGAUGCUUGCUACAACACUGCAGUGCUUUCCGGGGAGGCUGUACGAAAUAACUAAUGUCAUUGCUCACACAAGAAGAGACCGUUUUUUCCGUACUGCUAACUCCUCUCCCUUCCUGAACCAAGCCCCAGGCCUUUCUGCAGCUUCUGCGUUUUCUUGUAAGGACAAUUCCUCUCUCGGAGAAGAGAGUGAUUAUGAUCUCAUCUCUCAUAAAUCUUCUCUGGCUUUAAAGCAACAGUGGAAGCCUUCUGCCGAUAAGAAGCAUUGAGAGGGGAUUAAUGGAAAGAAUUUUUUCCCAGAUGUUUGGGUCAAGUGUGGAUUGAUCUCUUCUGAUUCCAAAGUUAUGUUAUUCUGUGAUCACCUUUUGCUGGAACAACUCAACCAUCCUUGGCUGUUCUGAAUACACAGACACACGAAUUUACCUCAAUGGACUCUACAGCAAUGAGAUGUACUGAAAAGAGCACAAAAUUUGGAGACAGGGAAGCCGGGUUCCAAUUCUGCCUCUGGUAUUGAUUACCUAUGUGACAUGUAACCUCCCAGUGCCUCAGUUUUCUCAUCUAUAAAAUUGAGGGCUGGACUAGAUGGCCUCAGAGGUCACUUCUAGGUCUAGGUCUUUGGUCCUAUGAUUCUAGAAUCCUAGGUCAUAUGUUUCCCAGGAUACAUUAAGAGUACAACCUUGGCACUACAACUUUGCAAUGUGGAACAGUCACUUUAAGAGUUGCUCAAUCCUAACCAGCAACAGUGGAAUCUGACCUUGGCUAUCCAUGGGAGUGUACCCAAGUGUAUUUGAGGGGUGGGGGAGUGGAACCUACCCAACCACACAAUGCCUUGUUCCAAUAUCUACCCACAAUGAUAUGAUGACUCCAUUUAACUCCCUAACUCUCCACUUCUAGAAGAAAAAAGAGUUGUUCUUUAUUUUCCCCUCUCCUUCCAUCCCUGUAAGAGAAAAUAAAGUAUC
Molecule: long non-coding RNA, 1377 nt
Organism: Phascolarctos cinereus (koala)
Lineage: Eukaryota; Metazoa; Chordata; Mammalia; Diprotodontia; Phascolarctidae
Source: RefSeq, a predicted model, not a curated record